UGUGACAUAUCUCUGCACUGAUCACCCAGGUGAUGGAAGUCUUGUUUAGGCUCUGUCUAUGGGGUCAUUGUGUCAAAUAUCUGCACUGAUCACCCAGGGAAUUUUGACAAAUCUCUGUACUGAUCACCUAGGUGAUGUAACUCUUGUCUACCCUCUGCCUACAGGGGGCAUUGUGAAAUAUCUCUGCACUGAUAACCCAAGUGAUGCAACUCUUGUCUAGGAUCUGCCUACAGGGGGUAUUGUGAAAUAUCUCUGCACUGAUCAACUAGGUGAUGUAACUCUUGUCCAGGCUCUGCCUAUGGGGGCAUUGUGACGUAUCUCUG
Molecule: long non-coding RNA, 323 nt
Filed under: Homo sapiens (human)
Lineage: Eukaryota; Metazoa; Chordata; Mammalia; Primates; Hominidae
Description: HSALNT0288861
Source: RNAcentral